GAUGAACGCUGGCGGCGUGCCUAAUACAUGCAAGUCGAGCGAACGGACGAGAAGCUUGCUUCUCUGAUGUUAGCGGCGGACGGGUGAGUAACACGUGGAUAACCUACCUAUAAGACUGGGAUAACUUCGGGAAACCGGAGCUAAUACCGGAUAAUAUUUUGAACCGCAUGGUUCAAAAGUGAAAGACGGUCUUGCUGUCACUUAUAGAUGGAUCCGCGCUGCAUUAGCUAGUUGGUAAGGUAACGGCUUACCAAGGCAACGAUGCAUAGCCGACCUGAGAGGGUGAUAGGCCACACGGGAAGUGAGACACGGUCCAGACUCCUACGGGAGGCAGCAGUAGGGAAUCUUACGCAAUGGGCGAAAGCAUGACGGAGCAACGCCGCGUGAGUGAUGAAGGUCUUCGGAUCGUAAAACUCUGUUAUUAGGGAAGAACAGAUGUGUAAGUAACUGUGCACAUCUUGACGGUACCGAAUCAGAAAGCCACGGCUAACUACGUG
This 497-nucleotide ribosomal RNA is filed under the name uncultured bacterium. RNAcentral describes it as "partial 16S ribosomal RNA". It matches the Rfam family "Bacterial small subunit ribosomal RNA", at positions 28 to 507 of the family's 1533-position model. The record is from RNAcentral.